Molecule: ribosomal RNA, 446 nt
Filed under: uncultured bacterium
Lineage: Bacteria
Description: partial 16S ribosomal RNA
Rfam family: Bacterial small subunit ribosomal RNA
Source: RNAcentral
CCUACGGGUGGCUGCAGUCGAGAAUCAUUCACAAUGGGGGAAACCCUGAUGGUGCGACGCCGCGUGGGGGAAUGAAGGUCUUCGGAUUGUAAACCCCUGUCAUGUGGGAGCAAAUUAAAAAGGUAGUACCCCAAGAGGCAGAGACUGCUAACUCUGUGCCAGCAGCCGCGGUAAUACAGGGGCCUCCAGCGUUGUUCGGAAUCACGGGGGGGAAAGGGUGCGUAGGCUGUUUCGUGAGUCGUGUGGGAACGGGGAGGGCUCAACCCGCGGACGGCACAUGAUAGUGCGGGACUAGAGUACAGGAGAGGGAACCGGAAUUCUCGGUGUAGCAGUGAAAUGCGUAGAUAUCGAGAGGAACACUCGUGGCGAAGGCGGGUUCCUGGACAUUAACUGACGCUGAGGCACGAAGGCCAGGGGAGCGAAAGGGAUUAGAUACCCGGGUAGUC